Molecule: ribosomal RNA, 460 nt
Filed under: Idiomarina baltica OS145
Lineage: Bacteria; Pseudomonadati; Pseudomonadota; Gammaproteobacteria; Alteromonadales; Idiomarinaceae
Description: bacterial LSU rRNA
Rfam family: Bacterial large subunit ribosomal RNA
Source: RNAcentral
GGCUGAUACCGCCCAAGAGUUCAUAUCGACGGCGGUGUUUGGCACCUCGAUGUCGGCUCAUCACAUCCUGGGGCUGAAGUCGGUCCCAAGGGUAUGGCUGUUCGCCAUUUAAAGUGGUACGCGAGCUGGGUUUAGAACGUCGUGAGACAGUUCGGUCCCUAUCUGCCGUGGGCGUUUGAGAGUUGAGAGGAGCUGCUCCUAGUACGAGAGGACCGGAGUGGACGAACCUCUGGUGUUCCGGUUGUCACGCCAGUGGCACUGCCGGGUAGCUAAGUUCGGAAUCGAUAACCGCUGAAAGCAUCUAAGCGGGAAGCGAGCCUCGAGAUAAGCUCUCACUAGCACAUUAAGUGCUCUGAAGGGUCGUUGCAGACGACGACGUUGAUAGGCGGGGUGUGGAAGCGUUGUAAGGCGUUGAGCUAACCCGUACUAAUUGCCCGUGAGACUUAACCAUACAACACCC